AUACGUAGGAUCCGAGCGUUGUCCGGAUUUACAGGGCGUAAAGGGUGCGUAGGCGGCUUGUUAAGUCUCAUGUGAAAUCUCCCGGCUUAACUGGGAGGGGUCAUGGGAUACUGGCAGGCUUGAGGUCAGUAGAGGAGAGCGGAAUUCCCGGAGUAGCGGUGAUAUGCGUAGAUACCGGGAGGAACACCAGAGGCGAAGGCGGCUCUCUGGGCUGCACCUGACGCUGAUGCACGAAAGCGUGGGGAGCGAACCGGAUUAGAUACCCCAGUAGUCC
Molecule: ribosomal RNA, 274 nt
Filed under: uncultured bacterium
Lineage: Bacteria
Description: partial 16S ribosomal RNA
Rfam family: Bacterial small subunit ribosomal RNA
Source: RNAcentral